Molecule: non-coding RNA, 72 nt
Organism: Danio rerio (zebrafish)
Lineage: Eukaryota; Metazoa; Chordata; Actinopteri; Cypriniformes; Danionidae
Source: Rfam
GCCGUGAUCGUAUAGUGGUUAGCGCUUUGCGUUGUGGCUGCAGCAACCCCGGUUCGAAUCCGGAUCAUGGCA